RNAcentral lists this ribosomal RNA (28 nucleotides) under Garovaglia powellii. Its description in RNAcentral is "partial 26S ribosomal RNA". The record is from RNAcentral. Lineage: Eukaryota; Viridiplantae; Streptophyta; Bryopsida; Ptychomniales; Ptychomniaceae.
AGACCUCUAAUCGGGAAAGAGCACGCGC